This is a long non-coding RNA of Rosa chinensis, 528 nucleotides long. RefSeq lists it as uncharacterized. The record is from RefSeq and is a predicted model, not a curated record. The transcript has 3 exons. Lineage: Eukaryota; Viridiplantae; Streptophyta; Magnoliopsida; Rosales; Rosaceae.
CUCUCUCUCCCAACCCCUCCUUUCUCAACCCCCACCGCCAGACUCCUCAUCUCGUCCGUCACCACCGCAAGUAGGAGUUAUGAGAAGAAGAAAAAAGGAGAACUGAUGGAAAAUGCUCAGAUCUAUCUCUCCCUCAGUUAACCUCAUAUAUGAACUCGUGAUGCCAAAUCCCCAGGAUCUUUCAAACCCAGCAGAAAAUUGAGCCAAGAAGUUUCGAUAUUUCUCAACAAAUUAAACACACUAAGAAUCCGUAACAGAUCGAAAUCGAACCCACUCACUUCGGUUCUGCUUCUAGAUUUGGUCAAUUUCCUGCUUUUUGGGUACUAGAUUUCCGGUCUCGGAAACUUGUAUAUCAACUCAUGCAUUACAAACCUACGAGUAUAUCUGUUUUGCUUCUUCUGUGAGAUUAGUGUUUGAAUCGGACGAGUUGGCUCUGCCCCAUGGAUUUGGUGGUAUUAAGGAAUUCAAAUGGACCGGAGAUUUGGUUGUAUUGGUGGCAGGAGAUGUAGUGGUAUUGGGAAUUGAAAG